Molecule: transfer RNA, 77 nt
Filed under: Candidatus Marimicrobium litorale
Lineage: Bacteria; Pseudomonadati; Pseudomonadota; Gammaproteobacteria; Cellvibrionales; Halieaceae
Description: tRNA-Sec
Rfam family: tRNA
About the family: Transfer RNA (tRNA) molecules are approximately 80 nucleotides in length.
Source: RNAcentral
GCGCUCGUAGCUCAGCUGGGUAGGGUAACUGGCUUCAAACCAGUGCAUCGGGCGUUCGAAUCUCUCCGGGCGCGCCA